UUUAUUACAAAACCCGAUAAAGUAUUAUACGAAUCCAUCAAAAGGGGGUAACUAUCAACUAUUGUUAUAACAGGAUGGGUUCCAUCUACAGUUGCACAGCUAUAGCUCGUAGCGGUUGAGCCUUCCGCAAGGUGAUGCCAAACUUAUCUUCCAUGUCCAUGUCCAUGCUCUCUUGUGUAAUUCCAUCUUCAAGUUUCCAGUCAAAGGAAUUAAUAAGUGACCCCAACAUUAAAUGCAACAUUCUGAUUGCCAAUGGCAAUCCAGGGCAAAUUCUCCGUCCAGCACCAAAAGGGAUAAGUUCAAAAUCACGCCCUCGAACAUCCAUAUCCAACCCCAAGAAUCUCUCUGGCAGAAAUGUGUCUGGAUCCUCCCAUAGACUUGGGUCUCUACCUAUGGCCCAUGCAUUGACCAACACUUGAGCAUCUUUAGGCACCGUGAAGCCACAAAUUUCUACAUCUGCCCCUGCUUUGUGGGGGACUAGUAAGGGAACUGCUGGAUGCAAUCUGAAGUUUUCUUUGAUAAUUGCUUUCAGGUAAGGUAACUUAGCAAUGUCUGAUUCCUGUAACAAGUUGCCUUUGCCAAUUAUCUGCUCAAUCUCCUCUCUAGCUCUCAUUAAAGUCUUGGGGUUGCGUAGAAGUUCUGUCAUCGCCCACUCCAAUGUGCUUGAAGUUGUAUCAGUCCCAGCAACAAAUAGGUCCUAUAUACAAAUUGUUUAAGAUAACAGCAUUAGUAUUACCCAGCUACGCAAUGAGUGAGAAAAGAUUUUACAAGGUCCUCCCCAAUCUUCUUAUUUAGUGGAUUAAAAAAGUGAAAGAUUUUGAAAAUUUUAAAACCUCUAAAAACCUUACCUCCUUUGAAAUAUUCAUCUCAAAUAUGAUACUUUAAAAAUGCAUUGUUUAAUCUUGAAAAACAUCCUCCCAAACGCUGUAAAGAGGACGUCUGCUCACAUGAACAGACCGAAUACGUAGUAGAAAAUUCAAAAUAAAAGUCCAGGUGGGGAGAAAGAGAUUAGAGAAUGACGGAACUAACCAAGAAUAAACAUUUCAUGCAGUUUGUAUCUAUCUCUUUGUUGUGCUCAUUGAGGGCGAGAAGAGUGUCAAGCACGUCGUUUGCUGGGAUAUACCCCUGCUUUUUCCUUAAUUGCAACCGUUGAUCAAUUAUACGAUCAAACAGAUCAAGUAUCUUCCCGAAAUGAAUGGUCAUGCGACGCCUGAUACCUUGUGGGUCAAUACUUCUGAGCAUAGGGAAAUAAUCUGCCAAGUUCGGUUUUCCGGCCUCUUCCAUGAUGCACCUCACAACCUCCUUGAACUCCCUUACAGUAUCCGAACUUGAAUCAGACAAAUCCAGAGAAAAAAUAUUAGUCGACAGGACAUUAAGUGUAGCUUUGAAAGCUAUUUGGCCAACAUCUACUGCGGCACCUACACGGCAACUUUCUUGAACAUCAGCAAGAAGGUCUUGAAUUUUCUUAAGCCGGAUGUCUUGGUUAGCAUCUAGUUUCUGAUUGGCAAAGAUGUAAGAGUUGCAAAUUUUUCUAAGAUUUCUCCAACGAGCCCCAACAGGUAGGAAAACCACCGAUUCUUGGUGGUGUUUAUGCGCAUGGACUGCCUGAGCAACAGUUCGGUCAGAGAAAGUGAGAUCAAGCGUUUGGAGGACUUCCUUGGCCAGUGUUGCAGAAGAAAUGACUACUGUAGUUACCCGGCCUAGUUGUAGACUCAUCAGAGGGCCAUGAAUCUUGGCAAGCUUUGCCAAGGACUUGUGGGGUUGGUCACCAAGUUCAAAAAGGUUACCUAAGAUUGGUAAAGGUGCUGGACCCGGUGGAAGUUUGCCCGGACUUCUGAUUUUGCUUCCCUUUAAAAUAAAAAUCAGAGUUUGAACAAAGGCUAAGGUGAAGAGAAGACUUAGUACAGAACCCAGCAAGUACUCCAUCAUCACUACUCGCUAGUUGGGAAAUUGGAUUCUGUAUUUGCUUCAAUGGUAUUCUCCCAAAAAUAUAAUCCACU
Molecule: unclassified non-coding RNA, 2000 nt
Filed under: Hevea brasiliensis (rubber tree)
Lineage: Eukaryota; Viridiplantae; Streptophyta; Magnoliopsida; Malpighiales; Euphorbiaceae
Source: RNAcentral